AACGCACGAGACCUGCGGACCUGCGGAAGGAUCAUUACCGAGUUAUCCAACUCCCAACCCCUGUGUAUUAUACCUUUAAUUGUUGCUUCGGCGGGACUUCGCGCCCGCCGGGGACCCAAACCUUCUGAAUUUUUUAAUAAGUAUCUUCUGAGUGGUUAAAAAAAUGAAUCAAAACUUUCAACAAUGGAUCUCU
RNAcentral lists this unclassified non-coding RNA (193 nucleotides) under soil metagenome. Its description in RNAcentral is "partial contains 5.8S ribosomal RNA, internal transcribed spacer 2, and large subunit ribosomal RNA". The record is from RNAcentral.